RNAcentral lists this ribosomal RNA (465 nucleotides) under uncultured bacterium. Its description in RNAcentral is "partial 16S ribosomal RNA". It matches the Rfam family "Bacterial small subunit ribosomal RNA", at positions 339 to 795 of the family's 1533-position model. The record is from RNAcentral.
CUACGGGUGGCAGCAGUGGGGAAUAUUGGACAAUGGGGGCAACCCUGAUCCAGCCAUGCCGCGUGUGUGAAGAAGGCCUUUUGGUUGUAAAGCACUUUAAGCAGGGAGGAGAGGCUAAUGGUUAAUACCCAUUAGAUUAGACGUUACCUGCAGAAUAAGCACCGGCUAACUCUGUGCCAGCAGCCGCGGUAAUACAGAGGGUGCGAGCGUUAAUCGAAAUUACUGGGCGUAAAGCGAGUGUAGGUGGCUCAUUAAGUCACAUGUGAAAUCCCCGGGCUUAACCUGGGAACUGCAUGUGAUACUGGUGGUGCUAGAAUAUGUGAGAGGGAAGUAGAAUUCCAGGUGUAGCGGUGAAAUGCGUAGAGAUCUGGAGGAAUACCGAUGGCGAAGGCAGCUUCCUGGCAUAAUAUUGACACUGAGAUUCGAAAGCGUGGGUAGCAAACAGGAUUAGAUACCCUUGUAGUC